GUUUGAGCGAGAGGGAGAGAGAGAGAGAGCUGAUGUGUGUGUGUGUGAGUGUGUAUGUGUGUGUGAGUGUGUGUGUGUAAGGAAGAGGGGGUAUUAUGCACCCUGGAUGUUGCCUCGUGCUUUAAACAGCUGCCUACAAGCCCAGGUAGUGCGCGCCGGCUUCUAAAUAAGCAGCACAUUCACCGUCCCCUUCAGGACAAGAGGCUAGGCUGCAGAGUGUGAAAUCAGACUAAUACAGUGGCGUAGGGCUGAGCAGGAGCAGGAAGCAGCUCCUGCAUGACUUACUUAGUCAAGAGGUUUAGAGGACAAGAACCAGCAGAAGAAAAAGAGGGGAUUGGACGUGGGAGAGAAAGGGGAGGAAAAAAAGACAGUAAGGACUGUGAGGGAAGCUUUUCCUCUGCUUCACAGUUGGUUGCAUUCUGGUCUGUGUAAAGAACACGUUUGAUCAGCCUGUGCUGCCUACCAGAUCUCCUGUGGCCCAAAGGUGAUGGUGUCAUCCUGACUUGUUCUUCUCGUGACCUGGGAGUCCCUAAAUCCCGAACCGUAUAGCUUUGGAAAACCCUGGAAAUACCUGGAAUUCUAGGAGUAUAUCACCAAAACUUCUUAAGGUGCCCAGGCACCGGAUCAAUAGCUUUACAUUCUCCUUUAUUAUUUUUUUCUGUAUACAAAGAAAGAGACGAAAGUCUGAACAUUAGCAAUAGCCGCUGGCCAUCCACCAUUGCUCCGACGAACCUGCUGUGACCGAGAGGGCGUGACCUUUCUGCCUGCUGACUUCAAACAGACACUUGAAAAGAAAACGCAGUCAGAGAGGCUUCCGCGUGGUGGCAACUCAGACCAAAAACCCCAUCAGGUAAGGCUGUGAAGUCCCCCUUGCUCCUGCUGUCCAAGCCCUAAGCCCUUUAACUUCUUCAGGGCUUUGAAGCUAACUUGUCCCCAGUCUGUGUCCCCCACACAGUUAGCUUCCCGUCAGAGUUUGUGCAAAGGAAAGGAUGGCGGAUAAAUGCCCCUCUUUUAUGCUCUGCUCACCUGUUUGUUCCUCUCAGAUUAGCGGCUCUGAAUAUGUUGAAGUUGUUUGGUUGGCAGACGCUCGCUCUGGGUUCUUCAUUGGCCCCUUGUAGAUUUGUCCAGUGACCAGCCAGAGCUAGAGCUAAUGUGCUAGAGACGUCACACAGCUUGGCGUGCUUGACCAGGUGGAUCACACAUACAUGAGCAUAUUCUCUGUGUGGAUGUGCAAACACAUGCUAUACAUACACAUACAGUAAACCUGCAGACCAACAUAUGUAAAUUUUCACAUUGAUAUGAAAUACUAAGUUUAAUGGUUUCAUAAAACAACAUGUCUACAGUAUACACUCUACUGUACCAUUUCUAUAACAGUUAUCAGUAACACCGUCAGUGAUGGGAUGUGUGAAUGUUCUCAGACGUGGGAGUUUUUUAGUUUACUAAGGGGACAAAAGUGAUUUUCUAGCAGAUAAAAUGUCCCCGCUGUUUGUGUGUGUGUUUACAGAUGGGCGUAUGUUAUAUUUUGAGUGUAUGUGUGUGUGGUGUGAGUAUAAGAAUAGACAAACAGUAUGUGUUUGAGUCUUGUAUCCAAAAAUGUGCAAAAACGGCACAUUUCUGAUGCAUGUGUGCACUUUUGGGCUUCAUAGCACAUGGUUGUGAAAUGAGUAUUCCCAUUCAGAGUGACUUUGAAAUUGAUUUCACUCAGUGUCACUCUUCUAGUUUUAUUAGGGUCUGGUUUCCCAGUUGUUUUCUCGAAGACUGACAACACAUUUUCAGUCGGUGAUUAAGACUUGAUCCCAGGUUAUCUGGACUAUAUUAAAUUAUUCUGCUUGAUAAGGGAAUCUGUGUGAUUUUAUUUUUUCUCAGGCAAUGACUUGGAAUCAAAUAGCGCCUGAUAUAAGGAUAUUGAGAUUAAGCUUUGUACCUUUGUGGCAAAGCACCCCCCCUCAACAACACCACCACCACCAUCACACAAAGGUAAAACAGCUAACUUUAGCUCCUCAGCUACAGAGGAAUGCAUUCUUUUUUGCCCUGAAAAUAGGCCUAAUUAAAAAUAAAAAGUACUUAUACAAUUAUAUGAAUAUACUUUAAUAAAGAUGACAGUGAAAACAGCAGGACGUACCGAUUGAGAUGAGUUAUGUCGUUAAGGAUCUAAAGAGCUUUCUUUGUAAAGUUCAAAGUAAUUUUAGCAAAUUUAGGUCACUGAAAUUUAGUACCCAGCAGCAAGUCAUUGUUUUGAAAAUGAGAAUGAAAGAAGAGAAAAUAAAUAAACAGACACUUUUUCUCCUCUCUCCUGCAUCUUUAAAGAUUAUUUUUAGUAUGGGGAAAAAUAAAACACUUGAAAGCGCGAGAAACAAUAUUUAUCGUUGCCGAGCUAAUUAAGGACGUGAUCUGAAACGUGUUUUCUGUAAAGUGUGAUUUCGGACCCAAAGGGUCAGCUGCCUCACAAUAGGACAAAGAUAAUACAGCAGAAGUCAGGGGUGGAGAGGGCUCCAGUCUGGAGGAAAGCAGCUCCCCUCCCUGGCCUGUGUGCUGAUGGAGCUGCACUCCUUGCCCAGGGCUCCAGGGCUCCGACACUAGACCUUAUUUUUCAUGUGGGCUGCACACUGUUCUGCUGCAGUCGGGGUUGCUCCCUUUGUGCCAGCCCUCCCCCUUUUAGAGCCAAAGACAUGCAUGAUUUCAUACAUGAAAGAUAUAUGUAAUUGGACAGCAGGGCCUAUGCAAUACAUUUACAAUUCUAAACAGAAUACGUUAAAACUGGCUUCCUCUGUCUCGCCCCCUUUUCUUCCUGAGGAAAUGUA
Molecule: long non-coding RNA, 2801 nt
Organism: Epinephelus moara (kelp grouper)
Lineage: Eukaryota; Metazoa; Chordata; Actinopteri; Perciformes; Serranidae
Exons: 4
Source: RefSeq, a predicted model, not a curated record